Non-coding RNA from Physcomitrium patens, 4185 nucleotides. The record is from RefSeq and is a predicted model, not a curated record. NCBI's taxonomy places the organism in Eukaryota, Viridiplantae, Streptophyta, Bryopsida, Funariales, Funariaceae.
GAAACGAGUUGGAGACUAUUACAAGCCGCUUCAACCGGCUGCCUGUGCAUUUAACAUCUUGCUUAUAAUUAGCGAUGGGCUUAUAAUUAGGGUUAUUCCAGGGCCCAUUCUACCACUACACAUUCUGGCCCUCUUCACGCUCAACUGAAUCACGAGUUUUCCCAACUCCCCCGCACCUGGGCUUCUUCUUAUCCUGACUCCGCUCCAACGCCGUGGCUCUGGUUCCCUCCGCCUCCCCCUGUUGGUAUGUACAUCCGCCGAAUACUGGUUGAAACGCGGCAAGAGCAGUCAAUGAUAUGCGCCGAAUACUGUUUGAAAUGCGGCAAGAGUAGCCGACAAUUUCUCAUUCGAUGCAAAACACCAUUAAAAUUACUCUUGAAAAUGCUCCAUCUAUUCUCAGUGCUAUUCGAGGUUUACAGUUUGACACCGCGGAGUUCUCGCCUAGACCGAAUUGCAUUAUUGCUGCAUGGGCCCUCCCACUCUCGUGUAUGUAGCCUCUGUGCGCUGGGUUUGAGGACUUUCGUUGAUUUUCACCCCUCUUGUGUGCCCCUGCAACCCAUCGUCCCCGAACGUGUAAGCAGCGACCUAGUUCUUCUGAUUCAGGAUAUUUGUUAGAGCCUGAUCAGGCACGAGCUUGUCGUGGAGUCUGGAGCUGUGUUGUUUUGUGACUGGUAGACGUUUCAUGCACUCUUUUUGGUAUGAUCGUUAGCGUUGUGAGUGACGAUGAGCCUGUCUUUGGAUCUAUCAAAAUUUCUCCAUCUUGUUUGACGUGUUCUGAGGAUAUUCCCCAAAUGGUCGGAACCAAUUUAUUAGAUGAAAGCUCUGAACCCUUUAGUCACUCAGGGUACUUACGAAGGCUACCAAAACUCGUGUAAUAUAUCUGACGGUCGCCAGAGCUGACGCCUAGGUUUUCAUGUCUUGCAAAGUAGCUCUCGAGAGUGUGCAUUGGUCGGUGUGGCCGAUUUUCGGUGUGGCUGCCCAUGGCUGGCAUUUCCUGUUUGCUGAGAGAGCAUGCAUAAGUAGCUACCUAAAUGCCAGUCCAUGUGCACCACUCCCAGCGUCUCCUCUCAACCUCCAAAGAUGUAAGAUACUCAGGUUAUACAUAGUUAAGUUUUCUCGGUUUUCAGAAGUGUGCAAAUCGUUCUAUCGUAGUACAAAUUUGUAUUUCACACAAACUAGCUUGAUGCAAUCUGUAUAAACACACCAACCCACCAAGGGAAUAUGCACUCCUGCUAGCAGAGGGUCCAACUUCUCUGCAAUCGCUGGAUAUGUAAAGUGACGAUUGAAUCAGCUAAUCCCAUCCGUAGACAGGCCCACGCCCCUUCGAUUAAACUGGCUUUAGGAAUGUCUUCUCUCAGAUACUCAUGAUUUUCCAGGCACUCAAUCGAAUAGUCUGUAUCAGUAAACCAGCUGGGGACACCUUGAUUAAGCUAGCUUCAUGUCAAAAAGAGUAUCAGCCCACAUGUGUGCCUUUUCUAAAGCUGCUCCUAUACUGGCACAUUUGUGCACGCGUUACAAGUGUGUGUGAGGUGCCCAUCGCCAAGACUCAGGGUUCGGCAAACAGGAAAUACCAAGCACACCGAAAUUGAACUGAAGGGUAUUUACUGAAGGGGUGCAGAUCAGGGUUCAGAUUUAGUGAACUGAAGGUCGCGGAGGUCCUCUCGCAAUUCUUGAUGUUCUUGUGAUGAGGUUCACACUGCUGGGGUUGGGAUUGAUGGUCUUAUGUGGUUUUGGACAAACGCAAAGAGUGUUUAUCGAGUUUGAGAUAAUCUGCUGCUAAUGUGCCCUUUUCAUGUAUCUGAAGGAUCUUGAGUGUAAAUUUGGUUCUCUUCGCUAGGUGUACGAAAGGAUGGCGUCAACGUCGUUGUUUAGGUCGUGGUGGUUUGGGAAAGCAACCAACCCUUCUCCUUCGGAUGGUGCAACGAAGCCAGAUGGCAUCAAAGAGAUCGUUACUGGAGUGUAUAAUCUAAGUGAGCCUAAGCCUCCGAGUCAAGUUGAAGUGGAGAUUGUGUUCAUUCAUGGAUUACAAUUAUAUGAGCGUAGUGAUGCAUAUUGGACAACUUGGAUGGGCGGAAAAGAUUGCAAAGAGUUUUGUUGGCCAAUGGAAUGGUUGACACGAGACUUUCUUGGAUAUCGGAUAUGGUCGCUUUCUUAUGACUCCACUGCUUGGAAAGGAAGUGACAAAGGAAAUGUUGAUUUGUAUGCAGCAGCAGAGACUCUUCUACAAGGGAUAGUUGAGCAUGCUCACAUAGGUGAACAUGAAUGUCCUAUUGUGUUUGUUUGCCAUUGUCUUGGAGGCUUGAUGGCAAAGGAGAUAGUAAAACUUGCAUUUGAAAAGAGACCAAAGUAUGAGAAUUUUUUGCAAAGGAUAAGAGGGUUUUUCUAUUAUUCUACACCUCAUCAUGGGUUACAAUCUAGCUAGUGAUGGUAAAAAACAUUCUAUGGAUGGAAAGAUGGUUUGUGAAUUGAAGGUCAUCAAUUAAGGUAUUUGUCGUCUAAACUCAACUUUUCAACAUAUUGGAAGAGAAAGUUAUAACAACAAAUGGAAACACUAUGCUAUUUAAGAGGCUUACAAGACUACAAUACCACUUCACGUGUAAGUAUACAUUGAUACAUCAUUACAUGCUUGUACAUCUACAUUUUUAAGUUGAUGGCCAUAUUCAUGCAAAGGUGUUGUGAUAUUCAUAACAUUUGGUUUUGUGUAAAUAUUAAUCUAGUAAAAACUUUAAACUGUAUUAGAAUAAAAAAAAUUUAUGUAAAAUUUAUUCACUCGUUGAAUUAUUUUGUUGUUAUAGUUAAAUUUAUGUAUUCAGUUUGUUGAAGAGGGUUCAGCACGACACAUGGGUGACGACUUUUAUGACUGCUCCCACUAAUCACUUUGAAGUAUGCAAGCCAAGCAAAAAGACUUGUGUUAGUUAUCAUGUGAUAACCAAAUUUAUUGAGGAAGUUUUGAAAGAUUUCAAGGAAAAUUAUCCAUGUCUAAAACAGCUUCCAAGUUCUUUGGUACAAGUGGAAGAAAAUAUUCAAGAAAUUUGGAAGAAAUUGGAAGCACAUUCUAUUGUUGGUUUGGUAGGCAUGGGGGAUAUAGGAAAGACAACAUUGAGCAAAUACUUGUAUAAUGAUGAAAUAAAGAAUAAUCAUGUGAGACAUCAAUUUGAAAAGUUUUGUUUCUUGGAAGAUGUGACAUCUCAUGGUGUUGAAAAAUCACAAAAAGAACUAUAUUGUGCAUUAUGUGACAAAGUUUGGAAUGGAGAAGAAAAUAAAGAUAAGCAACUUAAAAAUCUAAAAGAUUGCAUUAUUAUGAAAAGAGUUUUAUUGGUUCUUGAUGAUGUAGGUGAUGAAACACAUUUGAAAGAGUUGCAAGUACAUGCUUUCAAAGACACUCAAAAUGGAAGCAGUGAUUGUGACUACAUGACGAUAAGAUAUAUUAUAUGACUACAGUGAAGGUAUUUAUUAUAUGAAGUAUUUAAAUGAUGACCAAGCUUCAAAGUUAUUUUCAUUUUAUGCUUAUCGUGGACUUAAUAACAAGGAGUGCUUUGAUCAUAAAACAAAAGUUAUAACAAAGGCAUGUGGUGGAUUGCCUUUAAGCCUUGAAGUAAUUGGAAAAUAUUUAAGGAAAUAUAGAGAAAAGAUAUUGAUAUAGUUAGGGAUGCAUGGAAUGAAGCAUUGAGGAGAUUAAAAGAAGCAAAGCCUUUUGAUGGGCGUAAUGAUGAUGAGAAGUUAUGGUCAAGGUUAAAAAUUAGCUAUGAUGUUUUGGAUGAAGAUGAACAAAGGAUGUUCUUGGAUUUUGCUACAAUCAUAUGUGAAUAUAAGAGUGUGACUCAUGAAUCUAUGCACAAGGAUAUGCUUGCACGAAUCUGGAAUUCAAGUAUAGGAGUUGAGAAUCUUAUAAACAUGUCUCUAAUCAAAUGGAAUAAUGAAAUUGAAGGUUGUGUAAUGCAUGAUCAACUACGAGAUAUGGAUUGAAAUAUUGUAAAAAAAGAUGGAAGUCGACUAUGGGACAAGGUUAAUAGACUACAAUUUUCACCUCAAAAUAAGGUAAGUAAAGUUUUUUAGAAAUUUAAGAUUAGUGAAUUCUUAACAAAAAUUAUAGAUGUGAUUAAGUUAAAAAUUGCAAUCCAUUUUUUUUGAAUUAGAUUGUUUAAAUGAUAUUGUAGUUGGAAAUAUAAAGAUUAUAAUUUUUUA